This 1592-nucleotide ribosomal RNA is filed under the name Brachypteracias leptosomus (short-legged ground-roller). RNAcentral's name for it is "16S ribosomal RNA". It matches the Rfam family "Bacterial large subunit ribosomal RNA". Lineage: Eukaryota; Metazoa; Chordata; Aves; Coraciiformes; Brachypteraciidae. The record is from RNAcentral.
AGCCUCACUCUAGCCCGGCCACAUACACUCACACACUUAACCAACAAACCUACUUUCAUACUAAACCAAAACAUUCACCCCCACCUAGUAUAGGCGAUAGAAAAGAUCUACCGGCGCUAUAGAACUUUGUACCGUAAGGGAAAGAUGAAAUAAUAAUGAAAAACCAAGCAACAAACAGCAAAGACAAGCCCUUGUACCUUUUGCACCAUGAUUUAGCAAGAAUAACCAAGCGAAGCGAACUUAAGCUUGCCCUCCCGAAACCCAAGCGAGCUACUUACAAGCAGCUACCCAUGAGCGAACCCGUCUCUGUGGCAAAAGAGUGGGACGACUUGUUAGUAGAGGUGAAAAGCCAACCGAGCUGGGUGAUAGCUGGUUGCCUGUGAAAUGAACCUAAGUUCACUAUUGAUUACCCCUCCAUGGACCACCCAACAACCCUCCACGUAGAUAGUCAAAAGCUAUUUAAAGGGGGUACAGCCCCUUUAAAAAAGGACACAACCUCCUCUAGCGGAUAACCACCCCCAUAGAUACCUGUGGGCCUUCAAGCAGCCACCAACAAAGAAUGCGUCAAAGCUCUACCUCCAAAAAUCUAACAACAACACGACUCCCUUACCACUAACAGGCCAACCUAUGGCAAUAGGAGAAUCAAUGCUAAAAUGAGUAACUCAGGGACCACCCCUCUCCAGCGCAAACUUACAUCCCAACAUUAUUAACAGGCCAAUGAUACUCAAACUAAGACAAGACUAAAUAUCACAUCACCCUGUUAGCCCAACCCAGGAGCGCUCAUUAGAAAGAUUAAAGUCUGUGAAAGGAACUAGGCAAACCCUAGGCCCGACUGUUUACCAAAAACAUAGCCUUCAGCUCAAACCAAGUAUUGAAGGUGAUGCCUGCCCAGUGACACUACGUUCAACGGCCGCGGUAUCCUAACCGUGCGAAGGUAGCACAAUCAAUUGUCCCAUAAAUCGAGACUUGUAUGAAUGGCUAAACGAGGUCUUAACUGUCUCUCACGGAUAAUCAGUGAAAUUGAUCUCCCCGUGCAAAAGCGAGGAUAAACACAUAAGACGAGAAGACCCUGUGGAACUUAAAAAUCAACGGCCACACCCACCCAAACCUGAACCCAUGGGCCCACUACCCCCAAAAUGCUGGCUCGUAUUUUUCGGUUGGGGCGACCUUGGAGAAAAACAAACCCUCCAAAAACAAGACCACAUAUCUUAACCAAGAGCAACACCUCGACGUACAAAAAGUGACCUGACCCAAUACACUUGAUCAAUGAACCAAGCUACCCCAGGGAUAACAGCGCAAUCUCCCCCAAGAGCCCAUAUCGACAGGGAGGUUUACGACCUCGAUGUUGGAUCAGGACAUCCUAAUGGUGCAGCCGCUAUUAAGGGUUCGUUUGUUCAACGAUUAAUAGUCCUACGUGAUCUGAGUUCAGACCGGAGCAAUCCAGGUCGGUUUCUAUCUAUGACUCGUCCCUUCCAGUACGAAAGGACCGAAGGGGCAGGGCCCAUGCUACAAGUACGCCCUCCCCCUAAGUGGUGAAAUCAACUAAAUCACCAAAGGGGUCCCACACCUCAAUUCACCCUAGAAAAGGGCCG